GCACAAGCGGUGGAGCAUGUGGUUUAAUUCGACGCAACGCGAAGAACCUUACCUGGGCUCGAAAUGUAGUGGAAUCCGGCAGAAACGUCGGCGUCUAGCAAUAGACCGCUAUAUAGGUGCUGCAUGGCUGUCGUCAGCUCGUGUCGUGAGAUGUUGGGUUAAGUCCCGCAACGAGCGCAACCCUCGCCUUCAGUUGCCAGCACGUUUGGGUGGGCACUCUGAAGGAACUGCCGGUGACAAGCCGGAGGAAGGUGGGGAUGACGUCAAGUCCUCAUGGCCCUUAUGUCCUGGGCUACACACGUGCUACAAUGGCGGUGACAGUGGGAAGCCAGGCAGCGAUGCCGAGCUGAUCCCAAAAAGCCGUCUCAGUUCAGAUUGCACUCUGCAACUCGGGUGCAUGAAGGUGGAAUCGCUAGUAAUCGCGGAUCAGCACGCCGCGGUGAAUACGUUCCCGGGC
This 457-nucleotide ribosomal RNA is filed under the name uncultured bacterium. RNAcentral's name for it is "bacterial SSU rRNA". It matches the Rfam family "Bacterial small subunit ribosomal RNA", at positions 923 to 1379 of the family's 1533-position model. The record is from RNAcentral.